This 433-nucleotide ribosomal RNA is filed under the name uncultured bacterium. Its description in RNAcentral is "partial 16S ribosomal RNA". It matches the Rfam family "Bacterial small subunit ribosomal RNA", at positions 29 to 507 of the family's 1533-position model. The record is from RNAcentral.
AGCGAACGCUGGCGGCAGGCCUAACACAUGCAAGUCGAACGGACCCUUCGGGGUUAGUGGCGGACGGGUGAGUAACACGUGGGAACGUGCCUUUAGGUUCGGAAUAGCUCCUGGAAACGGGUGGUAAUGCCGAAUGUGCCCUUCGGGGGAAAGAUUUAUCGCCUUUAGAGCGGCCCGCGUCUGAUUAGCUAGUUGGUGAGGUAACGGCUCACCAAGGCGACGAUCAGUAGCUGGUCUGAGAGGAUGACCAGCCACACUGGGACUGAGACACGGCCCAGACUCCUACGGGAGGCAGCAGUGGGGAAUCUUGCGCAAUGGGCGAAAGACUGACGCAGCCAUGCCGCGUGAAUGAUGAAGGUCUUAGGAUUGUAAAAUUCUUUCACCGGGGACGAUAAUGACGGUACCCGGAGAAGAAGCCCCGGCUAACUUCGUG